This 478-nucleotide ribosomal RNA is filed under the name uncultured bacterium. RNAcentral's name for it is "partial 16S ribosomal RNA". It matches the Rfam family "Bacterial small subunit ribosomal RNA", at positions 28 to 506 of the family's 1533-position model. The record is from RNAcentral.
GAUGAACGCUAGCGGGAGGCCUAACACAUGCAAGCCGAGCGGUAGAGUUUCUUCGGAAACUUGAGAGCGGCGCACGGGUGCGUAACACGUGUGCAACCUACCUUUAUCUGGGGGAUAGCCUUUCGAAAGGAAGAUUAAUACCCCAUAAUAUAAUGAUUGGCAUCAAUUAUUAUUGAAAACUCCGGUGGAUAGAGAUGGGCACGCGCAAGAUUAGAUAGUUGGUGAGGUAACGGCUCACCAAGUCAAUGAUCUUUAGGGGUCCUGAGAGGGAGAUCCCCCACACUGGUACUGAGACACGGACCAGACUCCUACGGGAGGCAGCAGUGAGGAAUAUUGGACAAGGGGUGAGAGCCUGAUCCAGCCAUCCCGCGUGAAGGAUGACGGUCCUAUGGAUUGUAAACUUCUUUUGUACAGGGAUAAACCUACCCUCGUGAGGGUAGCUGAAGGUACUGUACGAAUAAGCACCGGCGAACUCCGU